GAAUUUCUGCGGAGUUCGUUACGGAAGGCAAGUAAUUGAGCCAACACCAAUUGAAAAGGGAGACCGAUGCUAUGUUCGGUGCGCCUUUAACUGCGAAAAGGAUGCUAAAGAACAUGGCUUUGAUGCGUUUUGUGCAAACAAAACGCAGAAGGUCACCCACCUGUUGAGAUGCAGGUUCAAUUGACGCUUCCGGACGGCUCAUGUGGUUUUCUU
RNAcentral lists this non-coding RNA (213 nucleotides) under Pseudomonadota bacterium. RNAcentral describes it as "6S RNA". It matches the Rfam family "6S / SsrS RNA". From Rfam's summary of the family: E. coli 6S RNA was the first non coding RNA to be sequenced, but its function was unknown until recently. Lineage: Bacteria; Pseudomonadati; Pseudomonadota. The record is from RNAcentral. RNAcentral also lists the same sequence under 1 other name.